GAAGGCAAAAGUAAGCAUGAAGCAGUAAAACACAUGCCUAAAACAGUGAAAGUUCAACUACCAGCUAAGAGGUAAGAAACACCUCACAAACUAAAUAAGUACAGACAAGGCGUCCAUGCCAGCGAAGAACCACAAAGCUCUGGAUAGAAGGGACCAAAACUCCAAGAGACUAACUUUGUACACCUACACCCAGGGAAUAAGAGGAAACAGAUAAACAACCUGAGGAUAUAAGAAUGGAAGCCAACCACCAAAAACUAGAGCCCAAGCUUGAGAUCAGAAACAACAUUCCAAGCCUACUGAGUAUACACGAAGGAAAACACUAUCCAAACCUUGAGUGACAAACGUGGAGAAAGAGAGAGACACUAAAGAAGCAAGACACAAUGUAAAAUACAACGAAAUGAAAGAACAUAGAGAAAAGGGAGAAAAAAAACUAAAUCAGCAAGCCAUAUAGCCGUCCUCGAGAUAUGAAAGAGAGCAUAUAAGUCGUAUCACCAAAAACCACAUCUUGAAAACAAAGAUGAACAUGGACUAUCAACGGAAAACUAACGACAAGGAAGACAACAUCACGGACGCCUAAACUCUAACCAACCCAUGGAGAUGCAGUCUCUAACAUCGGAAGAAGAAAAGCAGCCAAUAUUGAUCGGAAAAGCUUACAACACAGUGAGAAACAGCUGCACAACUUUGAACUCAUAAACCCAAUUUCGAACAAGUAGAAGAUAAUCUCACAUGAGAAGCAGGCGAAGAAAACUUUAUUUCAAAACAUACCAAUCAUUUCUGAAAAAAACACCGCACACCGGACAGUUAAACAAAAUACAUAUGCAGUGAUAGGUUAACGUCAAAUUAUGGGAAGAUGGCAAAAAACAUCUUAAAAAAAAUAAUUUUGAAAAUUUUGAAAAUAAAAUAAAAUACAAUUAUGACGUUAAAACUGUUAAUUUUUAAAUCAACAAAUGUCUAAAUGCAAAGUUAUUGAAAUUCAAUAUGCUUUAUAUCAGAUGAUCACUUUACGUUCACAUGGAUGCAGAGCUACCCUCUUGGUUAACAGAGUCUAUAUGAGUCUGUUUUCUUUUUAUUGAUGUCAAAAAAAAAAAA
This 1089-nucleotide long non-coding RNA is filed under the name Brassica napus (rape). RNAcentral's name for it is "long non-coding RNA (BNAP_LNC027036)". The record is from RNAcentral. Lineage: Eukaryota; Viridiplantae; Streptophyta; Magnoliopsida; Brassicales; Brassicaceae.